RNAcentral lists this ribosomal RNA (301 nucleotides) under uncultured bacterium. Its description in RNAcentral is "partial 16S ribosomal RNA". It matches the Rfam family "Bacterial small subunit ribosomal RNA", at positions 509 to 807 of the family's 1533-position model. The record is from RNAcentral.
CAGCAGCUGCGGGAAUACGGAGGGUGCAAGCGUUAAUCGGAAUUACUGGGCGUAAAGCGCACGCAGGCGGUUUGUUAAGUCAGAUGUGAAAUCCCCGAGCUUAACUUGGGAACUGCAUUUGAAACUGGCAAGCUAGAGUCUUGUAGAGGGGGGUAGAAUUCCAGGUGUAGCGGUGAAAUGCGUAGAGAUCUGGAGGAAUACCGGUGGCGAAGGCGGCCCCCUGGACAAAGACUGACGCUCAGGUGCGAAAGCGUGGGGAGCAAACAGGAUUAGAUACCCCGGUAGUCCCUGUCUCUUAUAC